Molecule: ribosomal RNA, 504 nt
Filed under: uncultured bacterium
Lineage: Bacteria
Description: bacterial SSU rRNA
Rfam family: Bacterial small subunit ribosomal RNA
Source: RNAcentral
ACAAAGUGACAGGUGGUGCAUGGUUGUCGUCAGCUCGUGUCGUGAGAUGUUGGGUUAAGUCCCGCAACGAGCGCAACCCUUAAGCUUAGUUGCCAGCAUUAAGUUGGGCACUCUAAGUUGACUGCCGGUGACAAACCGGAGGAAGGUGGGGAUGACGUCAAAUCAUCAUGCCCCUUAUGAUUUGGGCUACACACGUGCUACAAUGGACAAUACAAAGGGCAGCUAAACCGCGAGGUCAUGCAAAUCCCAUAAAGUUGUUCUCAGUUCGGAUUGUAGUCUGCAACUCGACUACAUGAAGCUGGAAUCGCUAGUAAUCGUAGAUCAGCAUGUUACGGUGAAUACGUUCCCGGGUCUUGUACACACCGCCCGUCACACCACGAGAGUCUGUAACACCCGAAGCCGGUGGAGUAACCAUUUAUGGAGCUAGCCGUCGAAGGUGGGACAAAUGAUUGGGGUGAAGUCGUAACAAGGUAGCCGUAUCGGAAGGUGCGGUUGGAUCACCUC